ACCUCGAUGGCCGAGACUUAGGCAAUAGACUGUAGAUCUAUCCACGGGACUUAUUCUCUCGAGGGU
RNAcentral lists this transfer RNA (66 nucleotides) under Melanoides tuberculata. Its description in RNAcentral is "tRNA-Tyr". The record is from RNAcentral. Lineage: Eukaryota; Metazoa; Mollusca; Gastropoda; Thiaridae.